GUGCUCACAUUGGCAGCAAAUACACUAAAAUUGGAAUGAUACAUAGAAAAUUAUCACGGCCACUGCUCAAUGAUGGCAUGCAAAUUCAUGAAGCAUUCCAUAUUUUU
Trichosurus vulpecula (common brushtail) is the source of this 107-nucleotide small nuclear RNA. NCBI's taxonomy places the organism in Eukaryota, Metazoa, Chordata, Mammalia, Diprotodontia, Phalangeridae. The record is from RefSeq and is a predicted model, not a curated record.